GUGAGUCAUCGAAUCUUUGAACGCACCUUGCGCUCCCUGGUAUUCCGGGGAGCAUGUCUGUUUGAGUGUCAUGAACUCUUCAACCCACCAGUUUCUUGUAGACUGAUUGGUGUUUGGAUUUUGAGCGCUGCUGGUCCUCGGACCUAGCUCGUUCGUAAUAAAUUAGCAUCUCUAAUUCGAACUCGGAUUGACUCGGCGUAAUAGACUAUUCGCUAAGGAUUCAAUGUUCGCAUUGAGCCAACUUAAUUAUGGAAGCUUCUAAUUGAAAAGUCUACCCUUAGAUUAGAUCUCAAAUCAGGCAGGAUUACCCGCUGAACUUAA
RNAcentral lists this ribosomal RNA (321 nucleotides) under uncultured fungus. RNAcentral's name for it is "eukaryotic LSU rRNA". The stretch from base 1 to 71 matches the Rfam family "5.8S ribosomal RNA", at positions 84 to 154 of the family's 154-position model. Lineage: Eukaryota; Fungi. The record is from RNAcentral.